RNAcentral lists this ribosomal RNA (301 nucleotides) under uncultured bacterium. RNAcentral's name for it is "partial 16S ribosomal RNA". It matches the Rfam family "Bacterial small subunit ribosomal RNA", at positions 509 to 807 of the family's 1533-position model. The record is from RNAcentral.
CAGUCGCCGCGGUAAUACGAAGGGUGCAAGCGUUAAUCGGAAUUACUGGGCGUAAAGCAUGCGUAGGCGGUUUGUUAAGUCUGCUGUGAAAUCCCCGGGCUCAACCUGGGAAUGGCAGUGGACACUGGGUCACUAGAGUGUGGUAGAGGAUAGUGGAAUUUCCGGUGUAGCAGUGAAAUGCGUAGAGAUCGGAAGGAACAUCUGUGGCGAAGGCGACUAUCUGGGCCAACACUGACACUGAGGCACGAAAGCGUGGGGAGCAAACAGGAUUAGAUACCCCUGUAGUCCCUGUCUCUUAUAC